ACCAUAGGCUUGGGUAUCGAGUAUCGAGUAUCGAUUGGAACCGGGACUAGCUUUGCGAUUUUCCCCGAAUCGUUCAAAAGUUUAAAUUUCGAUUCCUAGUUUCGAUUCCCAGUCCGCCGACUGGAAGAAGAAACUGCUUAACACCAACGAAGAAGCGUCCACCGAAAGUGUUGGCAUAGCCGAGCGAGUCGAACAUGGAUAGCGUGCGUCGGCGGUCCAAAGUGUGGCUUCAAUUUUCUAAAUAGAACGAAAUCUCGGCAAAAUGCAACAUUUGCGGCAAGAUUGUUUCGUGCAUAGGAGGGUGCACGUCGAACAUGAUAAAGCACCUCCGAGUUCAUGGAGUAGAAAUAAAUAAAUCUCUUUGAUGCGCUGCGCCGACCGUCCUCCGUUGCCUCUUCCUCUGGCUCCGACCCCCAGCCUGGCAAUCCACACGAGAUCCGAUUUUUUCGUAUCCGAUCUGAGCCACUUCCAAAUGUGGUUUUAAAUCCGAUACAUAUCCGAUCUCUGAACAUGCAACCUACGUCUAAACACGCAUAUCCGAUUCCUAUUGUAAUUCCAAGCCAUCAAACGGCGAGGGCGGCACGUUUGCUCACUAAACUAUAGCUUCAAUGUUGUAUUAUGAAGCAGACGUGCAUGUAUGCACUCGCACUAAAAAUUCGCAGCUCAAUAUUAAUGCGGGAACUUUGUCUAACAUGAAAGAAAUUGCGCACACACAUAUAUUCAGCAGCUUCGCACGCGCGCGCUCUCUCCCUUGCUCGCUCGAAUUCAUUCAAAAAACGGAAUUCUAAAACUAAUAAAUGUAGAUAAAAUAUCAAACACAAAUUACCUUUAUUUUCCGGUCUAUAUCCGUUCAGUCAGAAUUCGCGCUGCAAUACAUCCAUGACAGCUGUUAACUUAUCCAUUCUGACAGGCUAAUCAUGGCCACUCCAUGAAAUAUAUAAAUAAUUUUAAUAGCACGGCCAUUCAAAACCCGAGGAUCUACUAUGUGCAUUUAAAACUAUCAGUGACGAUCAUUUUGGGGCAGGAAGUAGCCUAAUGUAAACACAGAUAUCGAUACCAGUCGCGUCUAAAGUGAGUGUAAACACACUGGCCAAAAAAUCGGAUAUGGUCAAAAGAUCGGAUUUGUGCAUUAAGACUUGCCGUGUAAAUGCAGCCAUACACUCAUGUGUAAAUGUGUUUUCAAUAUAUUCAUAAUUUAUAAUAUUUAUAUUCAAGUUCAUAGAUUUGAUAUUUAUAUUGUAGUUGAAAACAGCCCUGUGAGAAAUUUAUAGUAAAGUUCAUAAAAAGUAAAAAGUUAAUAGAAUUAAAAUUGAUGGACAAGGUCAGACUAUUUCCUUCAGAAAGACCGUUGGUUAGCUAGCUCAUUUAAAAUAUCCUAAACUUUUUUUGACCCUGCCUCUUAAAAGAAUCGGAAUCGAGAAUCGUUAGGAACCGGAAUCGAAACAAGGAAUCGAAAUCGGAAUCGGAAUCGUUCAAAUUCAAACGAUACCCAACCCUACUGUCCACCCAAAAA
Megalobrama amblycephala (Wuchang bream) is the source of this 1513-nucleotide long non-coding RNA. RefSeq lists it as uncharacterized. NCBI's taxonomy places the organism in Eukaryota, Metazoa, Chordata, Actinopteri, Cypriniformes, Xenocyprididae. The record is from RefSeq and is a predicted model, not a curated record. The transcript is spliced from 3 exons.